UGUCCAAGACCUUGCAAGACUGAAACUUCAACUCCUAAUAACUUUGGAGUUGGUAAUUUUGCUCCAAUAAAAAACUAGUUGAUCCAAAAUUUUUUUGAUAGACCCCCCCCCUUGUAUUUUAACAGUAUGAAAAUUUUUGAAAAAAUUCAAGUAGGAUCGCAGCUUUUUCGAGUUUUUGCGUAAAAUUAGUCUUUGCGAGUGUUAUUAAUUUUGAUUUGAAUUAGAUUCAUCAAACUUUGAGGAAUGAAGACCUGACCUGCUAUCAGAAUUUCAAAAUAUUCAUAAAAUACAAUUUUCAGUUUUGUUCACUUGCCUAUAAACAUGCUAGGUUCACUAUUCAGUUGACAAUUUGACAUGUUUGUUUAUACAUGUAAAAUAUAUAUAACCCUCAAAUACGAUAUUCAACUACCUAACUAGUAACUACAUCAUCUUUCAGAUAAAACAAAUCAAAAAGCUAAAUAUUUUUUAUUAGGUAAUCAUUAUUUUUUUAUAGAACUGAAUUUUACGCGUAUAUGUACACCACUUGAAAUUUCAUUAAUUUAUUUGAAACUGUUUCGUUCAUGUUUAUGCUGAAUUAAAAAGCCUUUUAUUUUAUUAGUUUUUAAUACCUAACAACUUUCAGAAAACCGUCAAAUAAAUAACCCUCAAGUGCCUACCUAGAAGAGUCAAAGUCAAAAAUAAAAUGUCAAAAUAAUUCCACUCCACUGCUAUAAUUGUAAUGCCGAACUUGCCGAAGCCGAACGCCUGAAGAAAAAUUUGUCAUCAACCCAAUACCACCUAUAGUAAAAGGCCUGAGCGCUGAAUCCUUAUCAGCUCUGACGUCACCACAAGUAGAUGACUCGAUUGUGUUUACCAUUUGAAUUUUAACGUAUGUUUAAAUGGCGAAUUCGUGAAAUUGAGUAAAACUUUCGUUAAAAAAGUUAAUUAAAUUAUGAAAUUCAAUUAAUAUUUGUCAUAAAAUGUGUUCUAGUAAUGUGGUACUGAUGUUUUCAAUUACAGAUGGUGUUGGUUUAUUUGAUUUGUGUACAAAAAUGAAUUUUUUGCGACUCGUUUGUGUUGUGUAAUUUGAAUGAAUAGUGAUGUAAACUGUAGAUUAAAAUGAAAAUUAAUGUGUACUAGUGUGUUGUACCGGAAUGAUGUUGUAAUGAAAUAAGUAGUUAGUGAACAAUGCAAUCGCAUCAAGUUGGAGAAAAAUCUACAAUACAUUUUAAUUUUCAAAUCUACUUCUUAGACCAGCCAUGCUAAAGCUGCUAUGAUGGAUAAUGGAUAUUAAACUAGAAAUCAUCAGUAUCUCAAACCAAUUGAAGCAGCUUUAAAUUCCAAAAUACUUAGGAUGGAUUUCAACAGGCAUAAAUACAAUGUUUGCAAAGAAUUUCGAGAGAAAUCUCCGUCAUGUAUGCAAUGUUUGGUGAUCGUUUCGUAUACCUUAGUCUUUGAGUUGGAGAUUAUGUUCGCGUAUAUUCGGUAAUAUUUACAAUAAUUUGUAUGUGUUGUACUUCUUUGCUAUAUUCCUCAUUGUCAGCUGUCAUCCUCCAGAGUUUUUCUUGAUAUUCUUUUAGAAAUUAGAUCAUAAACGAGUGUAGUUCUCAUCUUUAAUGAUAAAAACAGUGUUGAUUAUGAGCUUAUAUUUACUUAUUUUUCCAUUCAAAUCAUUCCCUCUUGAUCUCAAAUUGAUUAUUAAGUAUCAGAAUGUGAUUCAAAACGCAAAAUAAAAUGUUCUCAGUAUUUAUUUCGUUCUAGUGCAUUAAUAUUUCAUUCAUUUCUAUAGUGUUAUCGGAGUACAUACUAUCUAUUAGUGAUGACGUCACAAAACAGCGCUCAGGCCUUUUACUAUAGGUGGUAUUGAUCAACCUCUUUAACGUGGACAGUGUCUUCAACAAUUAUUUAUCAGUUCCCCAGAGCGCGCUAGCGUCGCAGUACGUGAUUGGCUAGUGAUCUGUGCUGUUCCAUAGUUCCUUGUUUACUUUUCAAAACUGAACUUUUUUUUAUCACGAAUCCGAAUAAUUUUGGCUAAAAUUUUGGCCUUUCUGAUUCCGAAUAAUUUUACUGUUAGUUGUUUCAUUAAUUUCGCGAUAUUACUGUGAAUUUUGUAACAUAUUGAAAGACGUGUAUCGUGAUGAUCGAAUAUUGAUCAAGAGAAAGUAUGGUUCUGAAAAUAAUUAACGAAUUUCCUUCCACAAAUUUCCGAAUAUGUACUCCCAAUCGUCAACAACAAUGGAAAUAUCGCCUGGGCAGUGAGGACUGUGGAUAAACAAAUCAAGAAGUCAGAUUUAUUAUGCUGUUUAUGCUGGGAAGUGGGAACAUUUCUCACCUUCAAGCCUCAUUAUUGG
Molecule: long non-coding RNA, 2330 nt
Organism: Planococcus citri (citrus mealybug)
Lineage: Eukaryota; Metazoa; Arthropoda; Insecta; Hemiptera; Pseudococcidae
Exons: 2
Source: RefSeq, a predicted model, not a curated record